UACGGAGGGGGCUAGCGUUGUUCGGAAUUACUGGGCGUAAAGCGCACGUAGGCGGAUCAGUUAGUCGGGGGUGAAAUCCCGGGGCUCAACCCCGGAACUGCCUUCGAUACUGCUGGUCUGGAGGUCGAGAGAGGUGAGUGGAAUUCCGAGUGUAGAGGUGAAAUUCGUAGAUAUUCGGAGGAACACCAGUGGCGAAGGCGGCUCACUGGCUCGAUACUGACGCUGAGGUGCGAAAGCGUGGGGAGCAAACAGG
RNAcentral lists this ribosomal RNA (253 nucleotides) under uncultured bacterium. RNAcentral's name for it is "partial 16S ribosomal RNA". It matches the Rfam family "Bacterial small subunit ribosomal RNA", at positions 524 to 776 of the family's 1533-position model. The record is from RNAcentral.